Molecule: long non-coding RNA, 209 nt
Filed under: Homo sapiens (human)
Lineage: Eukaryota; Metazoa; Chordata; Mammalia; Primates; Hominidae
Description: non-protein coding lnc-CTAGE5-7:1
Source: RNAcentral
CUAUUUCUCCACAUACUCUCAAGCAUCUGUUGUUUCCUGACUUUUUAAUGAUCGCCAUUCUAACUGGUGUUAUUUAUACUUAGUAGUAUAAUAGCAAAAUAUUUAAAUUACAAAAUUAUGGAGACAAUUUUACUAUCAUAGAAAAACUGUGGGCCAAGAAACAAGAAUCUGAUUGGCUUCACUGUAACAGCAUACUCAAUCACACAAGG